GCGGGAGUAGCUCAGUUGGUUAGAGCGCCACGUUGCCAACGUGGAGGUCGAGGGUUCGAACCCCUUUUCCCGCUCCA
RNAcentral lists this transfer RNA (77 nucleotides) under Bdellovibrionales bacterium GWB1_55_8. Its description in RNAcentral is "tRNA-Gly". It matches the Rfam family "tRNA". From Rfam's summary of the family: Transfer RNA (tRNA) molecules are approximately 80 nucleotides in length. Their secondary structure includes four short double-helical elements and three loops (D, anti-codon, and T loops). The record is from RNAcentral. Lineage: Bacteria; Pseudomonadati; Bdellovibrionota; Bdellovibrionia; Bdellovibrionales.